Molecule: ribosomal RNA, 853 nt
Filed under: Proteus mirabilis
Lineage: Bacteria; Pseudomonadati; Pseudomonadota; Gammaproteobacteria; Enterobacterales; Morganellaceae
Description: partial 23S ribosomal RNA
Rfam family: Bacterial large subunit ribosomal RNA
Source: RNAcentral
GGGUUGUGAGGUUAAGCGAAUAAGCGUACACGGUGGAUGCCUAGGCAAUCAGAGGCGAUGAAGGACGUGCUAAUCUGCGAAAAGCGUCGGUAAGGUGAUAUGAACCGUUAUACCCGACGAUAUCCGAAUGGGGAAACCCAGUAUCCAAUGGAUACUAUCAUUAACUGAAUCCAUAGGUUAAUGAGGCGAACCGGGAGAACUGAAACAUCUCAGUACCCCGAGGAAAAGAAAUCAACCGAGAUUCCCCUAGUAGCGGCGAGCGAACGGGGAGCAGCCCAGAGUCUUAAUCAAUAGCAGUGUCAGGAGAACGGUCUGGAAAGUCCGGCAGUAAAGGGUGAUAGCCCCGUAUCUGAAGAUGCUGUUAUUGUGAACUCGACGAGUAGGGCGGGACACGUGUUAUCCUGUCUGAAUAUGGGGGGACCAUCCUCCAAGGCUAAAUACUCCUGAUUGACCGAUAGUGAACCAGUACCGUGAGGGAAAGGCGAAAAGAACCCCGGCGAGGGGAGUGAAAAAGAACCUGAAACCGUGUACGUACAAGCAGUAGGAGCCUCUUUAUGGGGUGACUGCGUACCUUUUGUAUAAUGGGUCAGCGACUUAUAUUCUGUAGCAAGGUUAACCGUAUAGGGGAGCCGUAGGGAAACCGAGUCUUAACUGGGCGAAUGAGUUGCAGGGUAUAGACCCGAAACCCGGUGAUCUAUCCAUGGGCAGGUUGAAGGUUGGGUAACACUAACUGGAGGACCGAACCGACUAAUGUUGAAAAAUUAGCGGAUGACUUGUGGAUGGGGGUGAAAGGCCAAUCAAACCGGGAGAUAGCUGGUUCUCCCCGAAAGCUAUUUAGGUAGCGCCUCGUGAA